GAUGAACGCUAGCGGGAGGCCUAACACAUGCAAGCCGAGCGGUAGAGUCUCUUCGGAGACUUGAGAGCGGCGCACGGGUGCGGAACACGUGUGCAACCUGCCUUUAUCUGGGGGAUAGCCUUUCGAAAGGAAGAUUAAUACCCCAUAAUAUACUGGAUGGCAUCAUCUGGUAUUGAAAACUCCGGUGGCUAGAGAUGGGCACGCGCAAGAUUAGAUAGUUGGUGAGGUAACGGCUCACCAAGUCAGCGAUCUUUAGGGGGCCUGAGAGGGUGAUCCCCCACACUGGAACUGGGACACGGACCAGACUCCUACGGGAGGCAGCAGUGAGGAAUAGUGGACAAUGGGGGAGAGCCUGAUCCAGCCAGCCCGCGUGAAGGACGACGGCCCUAUGGGUUGUAAACUUCUUUUGUAUAGGGAUAAACCUAGAUACGUGUAUCUAGCUGAAGGUACUAUACGAAUAAGCACCGGCUAACUCCGUG
RNAcentral lists this ribosomal RNA (479 nucleotides) under uncultured bacterium. Its description in RNAcentral is "partial 16S ribosomal RNA". It matches the Rfam family "Bacterial small subunit ribosomal RNA", at positions 28 to 507 of the family's 1533-position model. The record is from RNAcentral.